RNAcentral lists this long non-coding RNA (871 nucleotides) under Nicotiana tabacum (common tobacco). Its description in RNAcentral is "long non-coding RNA (NTAB_LNC015869)". Lineage: Eukaryota; Viridiplantae; Streptophyta; Magnoliopsida; Solanales; Solanaceae. The record is from RNAcentral.
CGUAUUUCAAUUCUUUGAAUUUCAAAUAUUCCCCUAGAAAAGUGAAAGUAAAAGUAAAAGAGGGAAGCAUUAUACUAUUAUCUUAAACUGGUGGGCCAGUAGGAAGACAUUUACUGUUAAGACAAGCAGCCCAAGUAUCAAAGCAACCAACUCCAGGAGUAGUAGAGCAGCACGAACAAUUUAAACCCAUAUAAUUGAAGGGUACACAUCCUUUACUAGAAGAGUUACUCUUUGGAAUCACUGGGAUCGGACCAUCUUGAGGUCUACAAGGGUCUUUUGCACCUGCCAUGUCACAUACAUGUAUUAAACUGUAUUGAAUUGUGUAAAAAUUACAAGUAUAUAUAACUACUUCAAUAAAUCCUUAUUUAUUACUAAGGGACUAUUUUGUCAACAUAAAAUAAAAGGUAAGUGUGGAAAAGGUGAUAUGUUUUGACGAGAUGUGAGAAUGAUGGUUCAUUUUGAAUAACCAAAAUAAGGAAUUAAGCUCUACCUGUUCCCUUUUUUGGUGGAAGAGUUUUUAUAAUACAUAAACGGCUAUCACUCUAAAGUUUCUUUUUCUUUUUAAGUCUACCAACGUCAUAAACAUUAAAAUGCAAAAAACAUAGGAGACUUUUGUUUUGAUUCUAUUCUCUAUAGGACUUUUCAAACCAAAAUAUACACUGACAAAGAAGUACGUCUUUGUGCAAAGCAUUUUAACCCUUACUAAAAUGGACCUCAAAACAAAAGAUAUAUACCUUCGUAUAGAGCCAGAAAAGUGAAAAAUACACCGCAAAGCACAAAAAAACGAAGGGCCAUGUUGAAUUGGUGCAGAGCGGGUUGUAUAUAUGUGCUUGGAUUUUGAACCUUUUUAUAGAUAUUUGAACUGGUUGUA